RNAcentral lists this ribosomal RNA (775 nucleotides) under uncultured Burkholderiales bacterium. RNAcentral describes it as "SSU rRNA". It matches the Rfam family "Bacterial small subunit ribosomal RNA", at positions 63 to 833 of the family's 1533-position model. The record is from RNAcentral. Lineage: Bacteria; Pseudomonadati; Pseudomonadota; Betaproteobacteria; Burkholderiales.
CGAACGGCAGCACGGACUUCGGUCUGGUGGCGAGUGGCGAACGGGUGAGUAAUAUAUCGGAACAUACCCAGUAGUGGGGGAUAACUAUCCGAAAGGAUAGCUAAUACCGCAUACGAUCUGUGGAUGAAAGCAGGGGAUCUUCGGACCUUGUGCUAUUGGAAUGGCCGAUAUCUGAUUAGCUAGUUGGUAGGGUAAAAGCCUACCAAGGCGACGAUCAGUAGCUGGUCUGAGAGGACGACCAGCCACACUGGAACUGAGACACGGUCCAGACUCCUACGGGAGGCAGCAGUGGGGAAUUUUGGACAAUGGGGGCAACCCUGAUCCAGCAAUGCCGCGUGAGUGAAGAAGGCCCUCGGGUUGUAAAGCUCUUUUGUCAGGGAAGAAACGGAGUUCUCUAAUAUAGGAUUCUAAUGACGGUACCUGAAGAAUAAGCACCGGCUAACUACGUGCCAGCAGCCGCGGUAAUACGUAGGGUGCAAGCGUUAAUCGGAAUUACUGGGCGUAAAGCGUGCGCAGGCGGUUUUGUAAGUCUGAUGUGAAAUCCCCGGGCUCAACCUGGGAACUGCAUUGGAGACUGCAAGGCUAGAGUGUGUCAGAGGGGGGUAGAAUUCCACGUGUAGCAGUGAAAUGCGUAGAGAUGUGGAGGAAUACCGAUGGCGAAGGCAGCCCCCUGGGAUAACACUGACGCUCAUGCACGAAAGCGUGGGGAGCAAACAGGAUUAGAUACCCUGGUAGUCCACGCCCUAAACGAUGUCUACUAGUUGUCGGGACUUAA